UGUUGAUCAAGUCUCGUUCGUUUUAUAUGUUAUACUGUCAUUGCUAUAUUUUAUUUUGUUGUCAACGGGUCAGAAAUUGUUUCUCUGUUUCUCUUUUCCUUGAAAAAGCUUUGUCGGUUAAAUAAUCUUUUCUAUACUAGUAAAAUCCCGUCGCAUGUUUUGUGCGCCUGAACCAAGUCCUGAAAAUGUUGGUAAUUUGUACGGCCUUCACACAAAAGAAAUUUUAGUUAAUGAUGUGAUAUUUUUACAUUAUGCUUCGUCUUCAUAUUUGAUUCCCUUUUAGUUGA
Molecule: long non-coding RNA, 287 nt
Filed under: Mytilus galloprovincialis (Mediterranean mussel)
Lineage: Eukaryota; Metazoa; Mollusca; Bivalvia; Mytilida; Mytilidae
Source: RNAcentral